AUUGAACGCUGGCGGCAUGCCUUACACAUGCAAGUCGAACGGUAGAGCAGCAAUGCUUGAGAGUGGCGAACGGGUGAGUAAUAUAUCGGAACGUGCCCAGUCGUGGGGGAUAACGUAGAGAAAUUUACGCUAAUACCGCAUACGAUCUAAGGAUGAAAGCGGGGGACUCGCAAGAGCCUCGCGCGAUUGGAGCGGCUGAUAUCAGAUUAGGUUGUUGGUGAGGUAAAAGCUCACCAAGCCGACGAUCUGUAGCUGGUUUGAGAGAACGACCAGCCACACUGGGACUGAGACACGGCCCAGACUCCUACGGGAGGCAGCAGUGGGGAAUUUUGGACAAUGGGCGAAAGCCUGAUCCAGCAAUGCCGCGUGUGGGAAGAAGGCCUUCGGGUUGUAAACCACUUUUGUACGGAACGAAACGGUCUGCUUUAAUACAGCGGGCUAAUGACGGUACCGUAAGAAUAAGCACCGGCUAACUACGUGCCAGCAGCCGCGGUAAUACGGAGGGUGCAAGCGUUGUCCGGAUUUAUUGGGUUUAAAGGGUGCGUAGGCGGUU
This 553-nucleotide ribosomal RNA is filed under the name uncultured bacterium. RNAcentral describes it as "bacterial SSU rRNA". It matches the Rfam family "Bacterial small subunit ribosomal RNA", at positions 28 to 580 of the family's 1533-position model. The record is from RNAcentral.